This 433-nucleotide ribosomal RNA is filed under the name uncultured bacterium. RNAcentral describes it as "partial 16S ribosomal RNA". It matches the Rfam family "Bacterial small subunit ribosomal RNA", at positions 29 to 507 of the family's 1533-position model. The record is from RNAcentral.
AACGAACGCUGGCGGCAUGCCUAACACAUGCAAGUCGAACGAGACCUUCGGGUCUAGUGGCGCACGGGUGCGUAACGCGUGGGAACCUGCCCUUAGGUUCGGAAUAACUCCCCGAAAGGGGUGCUAAUACCGGAUAAUGUCUUCGGACCAAAGAUUUAUCGCCUUUGGAUGGGCCCGCGUUGGAUUAGCUAGUUGGUAGGGUAAAAGCCUACCAAGGCGACGAUCCAUAGCUGGUCUGAGAGGAGGAUCAGCCACACUGGGACUGAGACACGGCCCAGACUUCUGGGGGAGGCAGCAAUGGGGAAUACUGGACAGUGGGCGAAAGGCUGAUCCAGCAAUGCCGCGUGAGUGAUUAAGGCCUGAAGGUUGUAAAGCUCUUUUACCCCGGAUGAUAAUGACAGUACCGGGAGAAUAAGCUCCGGCUAACUCCGUG